Long non-coding RNA from Octopus sinensis (East Asian common octopus), 134 nucleotides. RefSeq lists it as uncharacterized. The transcript is spliced from 3 exons. NCBI's taxonomy places the organism in Eukaryota, Metazoa, Mollusca, Cephalopoda, Octopoda, Octopodidae. The record is from RefSeq and is a predicted model, not a curated record.
CGUGUGCUCUUCCAUCUGUAUGGAACAAACUACCUGCAUCAGUUGUUAGUUGCAAAGACAUAGCAUCCUUUAAAACUUCAACGCUUCCUGAAAUUCGCCAACAUUACACCUGAUAUCCCCACCUCCCACACAUG